This 492-nucleotide ribosomal RNA is filed under the name uncultured bacterium. Its description in RNAcentral is "partial 16S ribosomal RNA". It matches the Rfam family "Bacterial small subunit ribosomal RNA", at positions 29 to 507 of the family's 1533-position model. The record is from RNAcentral.
AGUGAACGCUGGCGGUAGGCCUAACACAUGCAAGUCGAACGGCAGCACAGUAAGAGCUUGCUCUUACGGGUGGCGAGUGGCGGACGGGUGGGGAAUACAUCGGAAUCUACUUUUUCGUGGGGGAUAGCGUAGGGAAACUAACGCUAAUACCGCAUACGACCUACGGGUGAAAGCAGGGGAUCUUCGGACCUUGCGCGAUUGAAUGAGCCGAUGUCGGAUUAGCUAGUUGGCGGGGUAAAGGCCCACCAAGGCGACGAUCCGUAGCUGGUCUGAGAGGAUGAUCAGCCACACUGGAACUGAGACACGGUCCAGACUCCUACGGGAGGCAGCAGUGGGGAAUAUUGGACAAUGGGCGCAAGCCUGAUCCAGCCAUACCGCGUGGGUGAAGAAGGCCUUCGGGUUGUAAAGCCCUUUUGUUGGGAAAGAAAAGCAGCAGGUUAAUACCCCGCUGUUCUGACGGUACCCAAAGAAUAAGCACCGGCUAACUUCGUG